Cynoglossus semilaevis (tongue sole) is the source of this 654-nucleotide long non-coding RNA. RefSeq lists it as uncharacterized. The record is from RefSeq and is a predicted model, not a curated record. Lineage: Eukaryota; Metazoa; Chordata; Actinopteri; Pleuronectiformes; Cynoglossidae. The transcript has 4 exons.
AAGAGCACAGGCAGAAAGAUAGGAGCUACAGUGGAUAUGCUGUUAAACACUUAAACUGUUUGAUAAAUUAAAAAAAAUCUUCUUAAACUUAAAAAUAAACUAUUUGAUUACAUAUCAUUAUCUUUACAACUUGUUUGUACCAACAGCAUUCUGAUUGUAGCAGUUUGAGCGUUUUUGUCUGGUUUUUCCCCUCGCUUUUUCUGUUGACUGUUGCUAUGGUUUCCCUUCCUCACUUCUGCCGGGCGUUGAGGUGAGCCGGUAUAAAGCGGUAGUCCGCCCACCGGGUCUUCCUCUGCCCUCCCAUCGUCACCCGUGCUACUUCCGGGUCACAGGUCGUGAGUCCGACAGGACGACAGUUUGUGUGCUGCUCCGUGUGUGCUGCUGUGGUCGUUGGCCGGUGGUGAAUGCUGGCGGCUGGAGUCCAAUCCUUCCUCCUCGUGAGUGUGUGUGUUCUGAGAAGGUGUUGUAACCACCUCAUUGGACCGCUGCUGCUUUGUUUGGUGUUAUUUUGUGCUGCUUUGGUGUUGUUUUGUGCUGUUUUCACUGUAUUGCCUACGGCAUUGUUCUGCGGCUUCACGACUUCCAAGAUACACACUGUGCAUUAUUAUUAUUGUUAGGCCGUACACCGCGGUCCUAUGCAUAACCUUUUUUUUU